This 497-nucleotide ribosomal RNA is filed under the name uncultured bacterium. RNAcentral's name for it is "partial 16S ribosomal RNA". It matches the Rfam family "Bacterial small subunit ribosomal RNA", at positions 28 to 507 of the family's 1533-position model. The record is from RNAcentral.
GAUGAACGCUGGCGGCGUGCCUAAUACAUGCAAGUCGAGCGAACGGACGAGAAGCUUGCUUCUCUGAUGUUAGCGGCGGACGGGUGAGUAACACGUGGAUAACCUACCUAUAAGACUGGGAUAACUUCGGGAAACCGGAGCUAAUACCGGAUGAUAUUUUGAACCGCAUGGUUCAAAAGUGAAAGACGGUCUUGCUGUCACUUAUAGAUGGAUCCGCGCUGCAUUAGCUAGUUGGUAAGGUAACGGCUUACCAAGGCGACGAUGCAUAGCCGACCUGAGAGGAUGAUCAGCAACACUGGACCGGAGACACGGGCCAGAGGCCUACGGGAGGCAGAAGUGGGGAAGAUUGGAGAAGGGGCGAAAGCCUGAACAAGCUGUGCAGCGUGUGUGAAGAAGGGCUACGGAUGGUAAAGCACUGUAAGUUAGGAGGAAGGGAAGUAAGUUAAUACCUUGAGGUUUUGACGUGACCAAAAGAAUAAGCAACGGCUAACUUCGUG